UUAUGGAUUUGUCCCCAGUCAAUCCUCCCUGAUCAUAUGUGUGGUGGGUGUGUGUGUAUCUGCCUUCUGCAGGAUGCUUCCCACAACAGCUGUCUCGCACCAAGGGACCUAUUUGCUGCUAAGCAAACAGGAGCAUGAGCAGUCUUGAAGCUCGAAUGUGCCUGAGAUAUGAAGGUGGUGAUGGGACCACUGGUGGACCGAUGAUUGGAGUCAUACCCUGCCGAGCAGAAGGUGGUGGGAGAUGUUCCAGAUGUGCUACUUGAGUUACCAAGAUGAGCGUGUGGAGAGGUGCGGGCUGGGCGAAACAGAGCAAUGGUGAAUUAUCUAUUUAUGAUGUAGCAGCAUGUGUGGAGGCCAACCAACGCCACACUGCAGAGUAACGGAAGAGGCUGUGACCUGCAGGCGAGUGUGAUAUGUUCAUUUCAACACAUCUUCCUAAAAGAAUUUAGUUACGUAGUCCAUAAAACUGAAAUCCAAGUAAUAGUAAAUAUCAUUCUGCAGGUGGAGUGGCGCUUGGUUUCAUAACCCAGUGCAUGUCCCAUUUCAAAACUGGCCCAUGAGGCACCUGCUUCCCAAGCUGUCUCGUUUUUAGAACAGUGCAUGGCCGUGUAUUUGAGAUAUUAAUGGUGAUAAGGAAUGUUUAUCGUAUAUGAAUGUUCAGAAUGCUGAAUAGAAUAUAGUUUCGCAGUUGACACGCUUGACUACCCUAGAGGUGGAUGACGUUGGUACCAUCCUGUGUGGUUACUCUAGGGACAACCUCCAGCUGUUGAAGGAUCAAGUUUCACUCUUCCAUACAAGCCGAGUGGAGAGAUAAGCAUCAUGGUUGAUUGGUACAGCGAAUCCGAGCGUGGAACAGCGCGUGGCAAAAUCACCAGUGGAUUUUGAACUGUGGCUGUGCUUCCGUAGUAGGUGGACGAAAGAUUAAAGACGAGGAUCACGCGACCACACCUAAGGGGAUGGCGGGCGACGCACCCCCCGCGGUGAAGAAGACAAGGGCGGCGUCAAGACGAGGACAGGGACGAAUGGGCGCAACCGGCCAGGGUGAAACCAGCUCGCUUCGCCUCCUCCUCGGAGGCCUCUUCGGCUGGCUCUGACUGGGACGGCGACCACAUCCACGAUGCACGCAUAACCGGCGUGGCCAGGGGGGGCGGGCGCCGACUGGGCAACGCUGCAGACGCUCAUUGCUCAGGCUCGGAGGCCCCCCCCCCCCCCCC
Non-coding RNA from Procambarus clarkii (red swamp crayfish), 1214 nucleotides. NCBI's taxonomy places the organism in Eukaryota, Metazoa, Arthropoda, Malacostraca, Decapoda, Cambaridae. The record is from RefSeq and is a predicted model, not a curated record.